This 542-nucleotide long non-coding RNA is filed under the name Setaria viridis. Its description in RNAcentral is "long non-coding RNA (SVIR_LNC004318)". The record is from RNAcentral. Lineage: Eukaryota; Viridiplantae; Streptophyta; Magnoliopsida; Poales; Poaceae.
CUACAGUGCCAACCUCCCCGAAGAGCUUCUGAGCCCACGCCUUCGGCCUCCCCGGCUCCAACGACUGAAAGCACCGCUUCGCGUCGAGGCCUCGUCGCACUAAACUCCACCCUCCCUCGCCUCCUCGCGCACUUCACUGACGUGCCCAAGCUCGCGACCAAGUGCGAGAUGACCCGGCCCUCAAGCUCAAUAUUUGGACGUUGCAACACUCUGAAUGAGAUGUUCCGUGUAUUUGCUUCAUUUGUGUUCAGCUACCCUUUUUUCUCUUGUUGGGGGAUUUGUUUAUAUCAUGAAUGUUGCAAUGGGUUGAUUUGAAUGUCGUGAACACAGAUUCUAUUUGUUUCAAUUACAGAAACUGUACAGAUUUGAUAAUAUGUCGAUGUUGCCAAAGGUAAUUUAUAAUUGUUUCAUCAAUGUAUUCCAAAUGUUGCAGUGCUAAUUUGGUAUGUCCUUGUGCUUUCCGAGUGUUGCAAUAGUUCAUUCCGUUUGUUGCAGUCAUGGUUUACAUAUGUUUCAUAUUUCCUACUUCAAAUAUUCAUGUU